Molecule: unclassified non-coding RNA, 321 nt
Filed under: Hevea brasiliensis (rubber tree)
Lineage: Eukaryota; Viridiplantae; Streptophyta; Magnoliopsida; Malpighiales; Euphorbiaceae
Source: RNAcentral
CUUGAGGGUUUCCAGUGCCGUUAAAGCGAUCAAAGCUCGUCAUUUUCCUUCGAAAUCUUUCAACGGCUUCCCGACUCCUUUCUUUUCUUUCGGCCUACCCCCGCUCUCUUAAGGCCUUUCCUUCGCUCUGCCGAGCUUACUACUUAUCUUUUUCCUCCGUCAGACUCUGUGGAAGCCUUCCCUUCUACCCCGUCUGGUAUUCAAUUCACUAGCUUCGGCCACUUUCACUCCCGUUCUUAAAGAGUCAAAGCACCUGAAUUAAUAGUAUAAGGAGGAUGGCAUUAAGCAUAUAAAUGAGAUUGAUGCUUCGAAUGCCCUGAG